This 484-nucleotide ribosomal RNA is filed under the name uncultured bacterium. RNAcentral describes it as "partial 16S ribosomal RNA". It matches the Rfam family "Bacterial small subunit ribosomal RNA", at positions 29 to 507 of the family's 1533-position model. The record is from RNAcentral.
AUUGAACGCUGGCGGCAUGCUUUACACAUGCAAGUCGAACGGCAGCGCGGGCUUCGGCCUGGCGGCGAGUGGCGAAUGGGUGAGUAAUGCAUCGGAACGUGCCCAGUAAUGGGGGAUAGCCCGGCGAAAGCCGGAUUAAUACCGCAUACGACCUGAGGGUGAAAGCGGGGGACCGAAAGGCCUCGCGCUAUUGGAGCGGCCGAUGUCGGAUUAGCUAGUUGGUGGGGUAAAGGCUUACCAAGGCGACGAUCCGUAGCUGGUCUGAGAGGACGACCAGCCACACUGGGACUGAGACACGGCCCAGACUCCUACGGGAGGCAGCGGUGGGGAAUUUUGGACAAAGGGGGCAACCCUGAUCCAGCCAUGCCGCGUGCGGGAAGAAGGCCUUCGGGUUGUAAACCGCUUUUGUUCGGGAAGAAAUCCUCUGGGCUAAUACCCCGGGGGGAUGACGGUACCGGAAGAAUAAGCACCGGCUAACUACGUG